GGUCUGAUCCUGACAGGAGAAGCUUGCUUCUCGCUGACGAGCGGCGGACGGGUGAGUAAUACUUAGGAAUCUACCUAGUAGUGGGGGAUAGCUCGGGGAAACUCGAAUUAAUACCGCAUACGACCUACGGGAGAAAGGGGGCAACCUUGUUGCUCUCGCCUAUUAGAUGAGCCUAAGUCGGAUUAGCUAGAUGGUGGGGUAAAGGCCUACCAUGGCGACGAUCUGUAGCUGGUCUGAGAGGAUGAUCAGCCACACCGGGACUGAGACACGGCCCGGACUCCUACGGGAGGCAGCAGUGGGGAAUAUUGGACAAUGGGGGCAACCCUGAUCCAGCCAUGCCGCGUGUGUGAAGAAGGCCUUUUGGUUGUAAAGCACUUUAAGCAGUGAAGAAGACUCUAUGGUUAAUACCCAUAGACGAUGACAUUAGCUGCAGAAUAAGCACCGGCUAACUCUGUGCCAGCAGCCGCGGUAAUACAGAGGGUGCAAGCGUUAAUCGGAAUUACUGGGCGUAAAGCGAGCGUAGGUGGCUUGAUAAGUCAGAUGUGAAAGCCCCGGGCUUAACCUGGGAACGGCAUCUGAUACUGUUAGGCUAGAGUAGGUGAGAGGAAGGUAGAAUUCCAGGUGUAGCGGUGAAAUGCGUAGAGAUCUGGAGGAAUACCGAUGGCGAAGGCAGCCUUCUGGCAUCAUACUGACACUGAGGUUCGAAAGCGUGGGUAGCAAACAGGAUUAGAUACCCUGGUAGUCCACGCCGUAAACGAUGUCUACUAGUCGUUGGGUCCCUUGAGGACUUAGUGACGCAGCUAACGCAAUAAGUAGACCGCCUGGGGAGUACGGCCGCAAGGUUAAAACUCAAAUGAAUUGACGGGGGCCCGCACAAGCGGUGGAGCAUGUGGUUUAAUUCGAUGCAACGCGAAGAACCUUACCUGGUCUUGACAUAUCUAGAAUCCUGCAGAGAUGCGGGAGUGCCUUCGGGAAUUAGAAUACAGGUGCUGCAUGGCUGUCGUCAGCUCGUGUCGUGAGAUGUUGGGUUAAGUCCCGCAACGAGCGCAACCCUUGUCCUUAGUUACCAGCGGUUUGGCCGGGAACUCUAAGGAUACUGCCAGUGACAAACUGGAGGAAGGCGGGGACGACGUCAAGUCAUCAUGGCCCUUACGACCAGGGCUACACACGUGCUACAAUGGUAGGUACAGAGGGCAGCUACACAGCGAUGUGAUGCGAAUCUCAAAAAGCCUAUCGUAGUCCAGAUUGGAGUCUGCAACUCGACUCCAUGAAGUAGGAAUCGCUAGUAAUCGCGGAUCAGAAUGCCGCGGUGAAUACGUUCCCGGGCCUUGUACACACCCCCCGUCACACCAAGGGUGUUGAGUGCACCCGAAGCGGGUUAAGUCGCCACAAGGUAGCCGAACACU
Molecule: ribosomal RNA, 1406 nt
Filed under: Psychrobacter faecalis
Lineage: Bacteria; Pseudomonadati; Pseudomonadota; Gammaproteobacteria; Moraxellales; Moraxellaceae
Description: bacterial SSU rRNA
Rfam family: Bacterial small subunit ribosomal RNA
Source: RNAcentral